GACGAACGCUGGCGGCGUGCUUAACACAUGCAAGUCGAACGGAAAGGCCCUGCUUUUGUGGGGUGCUCGAGUGGCGAACGGGUGAGUAACACGUGAGUAACCUGCCCUUGACUUUGGGAUAACUUCAGGAAACUGGGGCUAAUACCGGAUAGGAGCUCCUGCUGCAUUGUGUGGGUUGGAAAUUUUCGGCGGUUGGGGAUGGACUCGCGGCUUAUCAGCUUGUUGGUGGGGUAGUUGCUUACCAAGGCUUUGACGGGUAGCCGGCCUGAGAGGGUGACCGGCCACAUUGGGACUGAGAUACGGCCCAGACUCCUACGGGAGGCAGCAGUGGGGAAUAUUGCACAAUGGGCGGAAGCCUGAUGCAGCAAAGCCGCGUGCGGGAUGACGGCCUUCGGGUUGUAAACCGCUUUCGACUGUGACGAAGAGUGAGUGACGGUAAUGGGUAAAGAAGCACCGGCUAACUACGUG
Molecule: ribosomal RNA, 468 nt
Filed under: uncultured bacterium
Lineage: Bacteria
Description: partial 16S ribosomal RNA
Rfam family: Bacterial small subunit ribosomal RNA
Source: RNAcentral